UCCGUAGGGGGAACCUGCGGAGGGAUCAUUACUGAGUUACCGCUCUAUAACCCUUUGUGAACAUACCUAACCGUUGCUUCGGCGGGCAGGGGAAGCCUCUCGCGGGCCUCCCCUCCCGGCGCCGGCCCCACCACGGGGACGGGGCGCCCGCCGGAGGAAACCAAACUCUAUUUACACGACGUCUCUUCUGAGUGGCACAAGCAAAUAAUUAAAACUUUUAACAACGGAUCUCUUGGUUCUGGCAUCGAUGAAGAACGCAGCGAAAUGCGAUAAGUAAUGUGAAUUGCAGAAUUCAGUGAAUCAUCGAAUCUUUGAACGCACAUUGCGCUCGCCAGCAUUCUGGCGAGCAUGCCUGUUCGAGCGUCAUUUCAACCCUCAAGCACCGCUUGGUUUUGGGGCCCCACGGCACACGUGGGCCCUUAAAGGUAGUGGCGGACCCUCCCGGAGCCUCCUUUGCGUAGUAACUAACGUCUCGCACUGGGAUUCGGAGGGACUCUUGCCGUAAAACCCCCCAAUUUUUUACAGGUUGACCUCGGAUCAGGUAGGAAUA
RNAcentral lists this ribosomal RNA (550 nucleotides) under Colletotrichum sp. 1 ONH-2014. RNAcentral's name for it is "eukaryotic LSU rRNA". The stretch from base 213 to 366 matches the Rfam family "5.8S ribosomal RNA". Lineage: Eukaryota; Fungi; Ascomycota; Sordariomycetes; Glomerellales; Glomerellaceae. The record is from RNAcentral.